This 400-nucleotide ribosomal RNA is filed under the name uncultured bacterium. Its description in RNAcentral is "partial 16S ribosomal RNA". It matches the Rfam family "Bacterial small subunit ribosomal RNA", at positions 359 to 776 of the family's 1533-position model. The record is from RNAcentral.
AUAUUGCGACAAUGGGCGAAAGCCUGACGCAGCAACGCCGCGUGCGGGAGUACGGCCUUCUGGUUGUAAACCGCUUCUCGAGGGGAAGAGGACGGACGGUACCCUCGGCAUAAGUCUCGGCUAACUACGUGCUAGCUGCCGCGGUAAAACGUAGGAGGCGAGCGUUAUCCGGAUUUACUGGGUGUAAAGCGCGUGCAGGCGGCCGUGCAGGUCGUGCGUGAAAGCGCCCGGCUCAACCGGGCGAGGUCGUGCGAGACUGCGGGGCUUGAGGCAGGUAGAGGCGUGUGGAAUUCCGGGUGUAGUGGUGAAAUGCGUAGAGGUCCGGAGGAACACCAGUGGCGAAGGCGGCACGCUGGGCCUGGCCUGACGCUCAGACGCGAAAGCAUGGGGAGCGAACGGG